RNAcentral lists this ribosomal RNA (560 nucleotides) under Microbacterium sp. Akt1G24. Its description in RNAcentral is "bacterial SSU rRNA". It matches the Rfam family "Bacterial small subunit ribosomal RNA", at positions 120 to 694 of the family's 1533-position model. Lineage: Bacteria; Bacillati; Actinomycetota; Actinomycetes; Micrococcales; Microbacteriaceae. The record is from RNAcentral.
GGUAACCGCAAAUGAUUCUGGGAUAACCGCUGGAAACGGCGUCUAAUACUGGAUAUGUGACGUGACCGCAUGGUCUGCGUUUGGAAAGAUUUUUCGGUUGGGGAUGGGCUCGCGGCCUAUCAGCUUGUUGGUGAGGUAAUGGCUCACCAAGGCGUCGACGGGUAGCCGGCCUGAGAGGGUGACCGGCCACACUGGGACUGAGACACGGCCCAGACUCCUACGGGAGGCAGCAGUGGGGAAUAUUGCACAAUGGGCGAAAGCCUGAUGCAGCAACGCCGCGUGAGGGAUGACGGCCUUCGGGUUGUAAACCUCUUUUAGCAGGGAAGAAGCGAAAGUGACGGUACCUGCAGAAAAAGCGCCGGCUAACUACGUGCCAGCAGCCGCGGUAAUACGUAGGGCGCAAGCGUUAUCCGGAAUUAUUGGGCGUAAAGAGCUCGUAGGCGGUUUGUCGCGUCUGCUGUGAAAUCCCGAGGCUCAACCUCGGGCCUGCAGUGGGUACGGGCAGACUAGAGUGCGGUAGGGGAGAUUGGAAUUCCUGGUGUAGCGGUGGAAUGCGCAGA